This 1463-nucleotide ribosomal RNA is filed under the name uncultured Bordetella sp. RNAcentral's name for it is "partial 16S-23S ribosomal RNA intergenic spacer". It matches the Rfam family "Bacterial small subunit ribosomal RNA". The record is from RNAcentral. Lineage: Bacteria; Pseudomonadati; Pseudomonadota; Betaproteobacteria; Burkholderiales; Alcaligenaceae.
CAGAGUUGAUUAUGGCUCAGAUUGAACGCUGGCGGGAUGCUUUACAUGCAAGUCCGAACGGCAGCACGGACUUCGGUCUGGUGGCAGUGGCGAACGGGUGAGUAAUGUAUCGAACGUGCCUAGUAGCGGGAUAACUACGCAGCGUAGCUAGUACCGCAUACGCCCUUCGGAGAAAGCAGGGGAGCCUUCGGGCCUCGCACUAUUAGAGCAGCCGAUAUCGGAUUAGCUAGUUGGUGGAGUAACAGCUCACCAAGGCGACGAUCCGUAGCUGGUUUGAGAGGACGACCAGCCACACUGGGACUGAGACACGGCCCAGACUCCUACGGGAGGCAGCAGUGGGGGAAUUUUUGGACAAUGGGGGAAACCAGUCCAGCCAUCCCGCGUGCGAUGAAGGCCUUCGGGUUGUAAAGCAUGGCGGGAAAGAAACGGCACGGGAUAAUACCCCGUGCAACUGACGUACCACCAGAAUAAGCACCGGCUAACUACGUGCCAGCAGCCGCGGUAAUACGUAGGGUGCAAGCGUUAAUCGGAAUUACUGGGCGUAAAGCGUGCCAGGCGGUUCGGAAAGAAGAUGUGAAAUCCCAGAGCUUAACUUUGGAACUGCAUUUUUAACUACCGAGCUAGAGUGUCAGAGGAGGUGGAAUUCCCGCGUGUAGCAGUGAAAUGCGUAGAUAUGCGGAGAACACCGAUGGCGAAGGCAGCCUCACUGGGAUAACACUGACGCUCAUGCAGCGUGGGGAGCAAACGGAUUGAAUGCCCUGGUGAUCACGCCCUAAACAGUGUCAACUAGCUGUUGGGGCCUUCGGGCCUUGGUAGCUUAGCUAACAUGGCGAGGAUUGACCGCCUGGGAAGCCUACGGUCGCAAGAUUAAAACUCAAAGGAAUUGACGGGGACCCGCACAAGAAGCGGUGGAUGAUGGAUUAAUUCGAUGCAACGCGAAAAACCUUACCUACCCUUGACAUGUCUGGAAUCCCGAAGAGAUUUGGGGAGUGCUCGCAAGAGAACCGGAACACGGAGUGCUGCAUGGCUGUCGUCAGCUCGUGUCGUGAGAUGUUGGGUUAAGUCCCGCAACGAGCGCAACCCUUGUCAUUAGUUGCUACGAAAGGGCUCUAAUGAGACUGCCGGUGACAAACCGGAGGAAAGGUGGGGAUGACGUCAAGUCCUCAUGGCCCUUAUGGGUAGGGCUUCACACGUCAUACAAUGGUCGGGCAGAGGGUCGCCAACCCGCGAGGGGAGCCAAUCCCAGAAACCCGAUCGUAGUCCGGAUCACCCAGUCUGCAACUCGACUGCGUGAGUCGGAAUCGCUAGUAAUCGCGGAUCAUGUCGCGGUGGGCCCGUUCCCGGGUCUUGUACACACCGCCCGUCACACCGCCCGAAAUUGGGUUUUACCAGAAGUAGUUAGCCUAACCGUAAGGAGGGCAGUUACGGUAAGUUCAUGACUGGGGUGAAGUCGUAACAGGUAG